AGCCUCAGGGCAUGGACAGGGGCUGGCUCUGGAGGUGAGAGGGCAGCAAAGGAUACCCUCCUCCAAAGUCGAACGAAUUCUUCUUCCACCAGGUUUUCAUACUCAGAAAAAGAAUCUCAAGAUGAAAAAAGUUGCUCCAACAUUAAUAGAAUCAACCCAAUAUACUUAAAUAGGGCCACGGAGUUCUCUUCUCUCCUCACCAGUUUGGAAUUAUGCAGCGUUAGACACCCCAUUGAAGCACCUUCCUCUGAUUGGAUGAAGACGUGGAGGUGGAAGCCUGGCAAGAUAGAUGCUUUGUUUAAAACAGUCAAGCUGCAAGAAAAAACCCACGAUCCCUCAACUUGGUGAGUCACCUGUUGCGCUGUAACUAGAGAUCAAGAAAGAAACUUACUUCCCAGCCCAAGGUAAGACUCAGGAUUGGUCCAGGAAAAUCACAGUGGUCUCAGUUCCCUUGCAGAGGACUGGGUCAAGCUUGGGCUGGACUGGACAUGGCCAAUGGGAUCUGAGAAUAAGUCUUCACUAAUAUAAACUGAUGCAUAAGCAAAAAUACCUCUCUUACUGGCUGGACUCUGUCACGUUGACAAUAGGACAGCUGGAAUUACCGAAGCCACCUGAGGCCACAAACCAUGCUGAAAACGGCCAAGUGGGAAGGCCUGGAUCCUGGAUCGCCUUUCUAAGUCACUGGAUUGACCAAGCCAGGAAUUGUCCUUUUGUUGUUCUUUCUAUGUCGGGGGGUGGGGGUGAUUUUUUCCAUUUCUUUAAGCUACUUGUUGAGAUUUGUGUUUCCAGGAGCUCGAAGCAUCCAGAUGCUGCAGUCCUUCGAUCCCUGCCACCUACCAGAGGAAUGCACCCCUCGAUGUAUAUGAGGAUAUGCAUGGACUGGAGUUCAUCGCCAUAGAGACGAUGACUGUCAAGUUCUAUUUAUAUUACGGAGACGGUAGGACCCACUAUUCUCCUUAUUACUGAGCUUCAGCUAUGUGCACUCUCUAAGGGAAGGUCUCCAGAAUGCCAUCCUUCCCCAACACUCCCCGAGGACAGCCUGCCCCUGUCACUCAGCUCCGUGCCCCCCUGGCACUUUCAUCUUUGGGCCACAGCGGUCUGUAAGCAUGGGUUCUGGUGCAGCCUAACCCUGGAGGCCACGUUCUG
RNAcentral lists this long non-coding RNA (1146 nucleotides) under Ursus americanus (American black bear). Its description in RNAcentral is "lncRNA (ENSUAMG00000014993.1)". The record is from RNAcentral. Lineage: Eukaryota; Metazoa; Chordata; Mammalia; Carnivora; Ursidae.